This is a long non-coding RNA of Fukomys damarensis (Damara mole-rat), 520 nucleotides long. RefSeq lists it as uncharacterized. The record is from RefSeq and is a predicted model, not a curated record. Lineage: Eukaryota; Metazoa; Chordata; Mammalia; Rodentia; Bathyergidae. The transcript is spliced from 3 exons.
UUUGGAGGAAGAAAUAAGCACUUGGGCUUUUGAAAUGAGAAUCAUGGAUACACUGCCAGAGAAAAGACUGUAGAGAGAAAACAAAAAUCAGAAAGAAUUCUAAAGAACACAACUUUAAGAAAACAGGAUGAAGGAAAUACAUCUGUGGUGGGAACAGAGAAACACCAAUCUGGAAGGCCGGAGGAGUGUGAUUGGGUACAACAGACUUGUCAAACUGGAGAGGACAGAAGAAGGGAAGGAUUGACAUGGGAAAAUAUCUCAUCUCCCUUUCUGGAGAAUCUCCUGCAUGAAUUGUCUGCAAAACCUCUUCAACUGGAUACGAGUCUCAGACCUCUUGUAAACUAGAAGACUACUCUACAGGAAGAUUAUUCAAUAUGUAUUUUGAAUCCUGCAGUCAUUGAUAACACAGCAAUUGUUAGAAAGUGACCAUGAAAUGACCUGGAAAUGGUAUUACGGUUGAAGAAAAAGAAAUCCUUUAAUAAUCCUGUAAUGUCUCCUAAUGAUCCUAUAUUUUCACAUC